This 316-nucleotide ribosomal RNA is filed under the name uncultured eukaryote. RNAcentral describes it as "partial large subunit ribosomal RNA". It matches the Rfam family "Eukaryotic large subunit ribosomal RNA", at positions 40 to 350 of the family's 3401-position model. The record is from RNAcentral.
AUAUCAAUAAGCGGAGGAAAAGAAACUAACAAGGAUUCCCCUAGUAACGGCGAGUGAAGUGGGAAAAGCUCAACUUUGUAAUCUGGCUCUUUCAGAGUCCGAGUUGUAGUCUCGAGAAGCGUCAUCCGCGCCGGACCUUGGGUAUAUCUGUUGGAAAACAGUGUCAGAGAGGGUGACAAUCCCGUUCGUACCAAGGACGCCCGUGUGCAUUGUGGUGUGCUUUCUAAGAGUCGAGUUGUUUGGGAAUGCAGCUCAAAUUGGGUGGUAAAUUCCAUCUAAAGCUAAAUAUUGGCGAGAGACCGAUAGCGCACAAGUA